This 429-nucleotide ribosomal RNA is filed under the name uncultured bacterium. RNAcentral's name for it is "bacterial SSU rRNA". It matches the Rfam family "Bacterial small subunit ribosomal RNA", at positions 355 to 776 of the family's 1533-position model. The record is from RNAcentral.
UUAGGAAUAUUCGUCAAUGGGGGAAACCCUGAACGAGCAAUGCCGCGUGAAGGAAGAAGGUCCUAUGGAUUGUAAACUUCUGUUGUAAAGGAAGAACGACCUAAGUAGGAAAUGACUUAGGAGUGACGGUACUUUAUAAGAAAGCUCCGGCUAACUACGUGCCAGCAGCCGCGGUAAUACGUAGGGAGCGAGCGUUAUCCGGAAUUAUUGGGUGUAAAGGGUGCGUAGGCGGCCUGAUAAGUCAGUGGUGAAAGCCCGGAGCUUAACUCCGGUAAGCCAUUGAAACUGUGAGGCUUGAGUAUGGUAGAGGCAAGUGGAAUUUCUAGUGUAGCGGUAAAAUGCGUAGAUAUUAGAAGGAACACCAGUGGCGAAGGCGACUUGCUGGGCCAAGACUGACGCUGAGGCACGAAAGCGUGGGGAGCAAAUAGG